This 400-nucleotide long non-coding RNA is filed under the name Heterocephalus glaber (naked mole-rat). RNAcentral describes it as "lncRNA (ENSHGLG00000045641.1)". Lineage: Eukaryota; Metazoa; Chordata; Mammalia; Rodentia; Bathyergidae. The record is from RNAcentral.
GAACCUCCUAGGUCUCCCUGCUGGAGCUGAUUCCGACCUUCCCGCCUGAGGCAAACGCCAGCGUGGUCGAGGAAUUAUCUGUAUGAGGAGCGCACUGCACAAGGAGAAGGCAGGACAAGGGGAGAUGAGCCCACAGUGCCUGUCAUUAAUAUUUCAGGAGCAAGAAGAUGGUGCCGCAUAAGGGGAAUCAGGACAAAUGGAACUGCUGUGUUUCAGAGCUGGCUAGAGAGGGCGCUGAUUAGAGACAGGGGAUCUUUGUGGGGUCAACUGUUCUGAUGCAGAGGGGCACGGAGGAUAGACUUGGGGCGUUCGGGUCAGCUCUGCAGCCAGCCUGGCAGAAACUGGCGUGUUCCCAGGGACAAACAGUGAGUGAGGCCUUGCGACCCAAGCAAAGAUGGAG